RNAcentral lists this transfer RNA (72 nucleotides) under Diaphorina citri (Asian citrus psyllid). It matches the Rfam family "tRNA". Rfam says of the family: Transfer RNA (tRNA) molecules are approximately 80 nucleotides in length. Their secondary structure includes four short double-helical elements and three loops (D, anti-codon, and T loops). Lineage: Eukaryota; Metazoa; Arthropoda; Insecta; Hemiptera; Psyllidae. The record is from Rfam by way of RNAcentral.
GCCUCGGUAGCGUAGUGGUCAAGACGCUCACCUAGUAAACAGGAGGGCGUGGGUUCGAUCCCAGCCGAGGCA